UACGGAGGGUGCGAGCGUUGUCCGGAAUCACUGGGCGUAAAGGGCGCGUAGGCGGCGCGAGCAGUCGGCGGUGAAGGCCCGGAGCUCAACUCCGGGUCGGCCGUCGAUACUCUCGUGCUUGAGCACUGUAGAGGCAGGUGGAAUUCCGGGUGUAGCGGUGGAAUGCGUAGAGAUCCGGAAGAACACCGGUGGCGAAGGCGGCCUGCUGGGCAGUAGCUGACGCUGAUGCGCGACAGCGUGGGGAGCAAACAGG
RNAcentral lists this ribosomal RNA (253 nucleotides) under uncultured bacterium. Its description in RNAcentral is "partial 16S ribosomal RNA". It matches the Rfam family "Bacterial small subunit ribosomal RNA", at positions 524 to 776 of the family's 1533-position model. The record is from RNAcentral.